UCGUAUGGUCAUGCUCAGCACUAGUUGUUCUCUAAUAACUAUCCGUACUCGUCCCCAAUAUCUCUACACUGUAGAUCAGAGACUCAUCUAUCCUGAAGAAAAUAAUCUGUGCGCCAGUCUAUCUAGAUCGAUCACCAUCCUCAUGAUGAUCCUAUGAUCAGGAGCAUUUAGGAAUUAAAUACAAGUCUCUAAUUCUCAACACUUUGAG
RNAcentral lists this long non-coding RNA (208 nucleotides) under Elaeis guineensis (African oil palm). RNAcentral describes it as "long non-coding RNA (EGUI_LNC070946)". The record is from RNAcentral. Lineage: Eukaryota; Viridiplantae; Streptophyta; Magnoliopsida; Arecales; Arecaceae.